This is a long non-coding RNA of Prionailurus viverrinus (fishing cat), 3263 nucleotides long. RefSeq lists it as uncharacterized. NCBI's taxonomy places the organism in Eukaryota, Metazoa, Chordata, Mammalia, Carnivora, Felidae. The transcript is spliced from 3 exons. The record is from RefSeq and is a predicted model, not a curated record.
CAGACUUCAGAGGGCAGGAUGGGAGACAGAGAUGGAAAUGAGAAAGCAGGAAGGAAAAGUACUGAGAAGACUGGCUUUCUAGAAUGCAUCAUGUUGUUAUGCUGUGAACAAUGGGAACCUCUUCAGUAAAUAACCUUUAAACAACAGGAUAAAUGCAAAUGACAUGACAAAUUAUUGGCCCAAUUCAGAUGAUGGAGAAGACACUGCACCUGUUGAUCCAUGGGCGGUACAGGAUUAAUAAUCAAGAAAAGGGGGUCCAGACAUAUCAAAACAUUUAAAACAGGGGCUGGAAAUGGAGGACAAAGAAGCAAAUCUCUGGCCGUAAGCAAGACAUAGUAAGGGACCGAGAGUACUCGUAAUCUAUUCCCAAAAGAUGAUGGUUCCAUUUAUAGUCAACAAGGAGAAGAACAUUCUCAUUGGCUGUAAAGAACUUCAACUCCGUAAACUGAGAAGCAUCAGGAAAAGGAGACCAGGAUUUAAAAAGGAAAAAGAAAAGCGAGCAGAUGCGUGUGUGUGUCCUCCAUUAUCUGUCAAGGGCAAAAGGGAGAGGCAGCAGCCACCAGGACUGCAUGCAGCUGAGGAUCCAAUGCUGCCCCUGGAAGGAAUUCAAAACAGCUCCUCGUGAGAAGGACAGAGUCCCACUAAUUUACAAACACUCAGAAGCAUCUUGAGGCCAUAAAUAACAUGCUAGCUACAAGAGUCACUGGAAAUAUUCAGCAAAAAGCGAAAGUCUUAUUUCAUCACAUCUGAAGUAGUAAUACGACGUAAAGACACUCCCACGAGAUUAAAGUGCACACUUGUGUGGGGUAACUCUUGCCAGUUACCUGGUGAAAAGUCAAACAGAAUCCUGGACUGCAGCACACACAACAGUGAGAUCUUCUCAAAUGAAGGUCCUCCCUUCUCCAGAGUUGAACGGCAACUACUUUAAACCCCAGGGCUAGUUGUUCCCCCAGCUCUUAUCAGCCAUCUAGUCUUGAGACUGGCACAAGGAUUUAUAGUUUUCUAGGUACAUGAUAUUAAAACAGUUUCCUUUUCGUUUUAUACUCGUAAUAAAAAGGAUUAAGUUUUAAAACUAACUUUUAAGAAGUCAAUGAAACCUGACAGCAGCAUAUGAAAUGAAAGCAUUUGCUGAACACAGCCAUCUGAAAAGCUGGCUUUAGUCCAAGCUAGUCACAAAUCCCAGCACAAGGCACCUGCUAACAAAGGCCUCUGACUUUGUAGGACUUCUCAGAAUAGCUCAUAUAUUCGGUAAACUAGGUAACAGAAUUUAUGCACUAUCAGCUGUGUGUAUAUUAACAAAAUUACUGAGGUACUUUAUUACAUGUAAUAAUCAACUCAGAAAUUAAAAAGGAAAAUCAUCUGAUUCACGACACACACAUCUCCCUAGGUAACGAAAGUUUUACAGCUCCAAUAUUCUGAGUUCUUGACAAGGAAAGACAGAACAAAGAAAGUUACCAAGUAAUUUUAGAGGCCUCAGUAAGUAGGAAUGAGUCUGCAACAAUCAGGAUGCAGGAAAAAAAGGGGGAGAAGUCCAUAAUCUCUCUAAAAAGAGGACCCACUGUAUUGUCCAUCUAUCCGGACUCCAUUUCUAAAUAGCUAAUCAAAGGUAAGAGCUGUUUGCUAUGGCUCUUACCUGAGUGGAAAUAAAGUGCAUCUGACUGCAUUAAGGAAACUGAUGCUGGCACUCAUCUGGUUUCUUUGCUUAAAAGCUCUUUGGCUCAGUCACUGUGAUUGUCAGACUGUUCCAGAGCACCUGUGGACCACCGUUAAUUUUCAAACGGUUCCCAGACCCAUUUUUCAAAUGACAAAAAAGGCACACAAAAGAAGUAAAAUUAUCAUCUGUGGUGACAGAACAAGAAACAAGAAGAGCCAAGAGCUGAUAUUUGGAGUUUAGUUUAGCCUAGGUCAGGUGGAUUCUACUAACAUAUACUGAACAAUUUCUACACAAACAUAGACGGGGGAUCAGUUACUUCAUUCCAUAGUGAAGUAACCUUAACCAAAUUUUGAACUGCUGCUUCUCUAAGAGCUAAAUGUUUCCUGGAGAUCAUCCUGCCAGUACCGAACUUAUCUUAAGCCAUCUGACAGUAAGAUAUGAAAAAACUACAGUACCAGAAAUACCAUUGCCCAGUCUGAAAAAUGACUCAAAGUCAGCAUUUUUCUGUUAGUGUGACAAAUAAGUGUUGAUUUCUGCCAAAUUAAACCCUUGUUUAAGGAUAAAAAAAUAUUCUGUUUUUAUGGAAGAAGUCUCACUUGUCCAGCACUGAGAGAUAACCCCACACUGCUAGAGGUCUAAGGUGUAAUACUACUUCUUCCAGCUUUUGACAGGCUUUUAUUUUAACACAGUUAACAAAAUGUUUUAUAGUUACCCUAGGGUUACCUUAAGCAAAACAACCAUCACAAACCAUAUAAAAUGUUUGUAAUGUUUCUAAUUUAACCAUCUCCUAGAGUUGGAAAGAACCACCAAUUACUAGAUGACACAAUCUCAAAAGAACUGCAUAGCACUGUUCAUUUAUAUUUCACCAUCAAACAGCAGGUAGCCUUUGGUCUUAAAAAUAGAAGCGGGCCCAACCCACAAAGAACCUGAGUAAUGUGACCUUUCUUUCAGUCUCAUUUCCAGAAGCAUGCGUCUCAGUUUAAAACCUGUAAGUUGAUGUGAACUCUUCACAUACAACUAAUUCAGUGCAAUUUAAAAUCCAGUACAAUCAGUAACAUUAUAGAAUUACGAAUGAGAAUAAUGGUUACUUAAUCUUUACUCAUUGACUGGAAAGACUAUACUUUCACUUGCUCUGUUAUUUUUUAAUAUGAGAAGAACAAAAGGAAAAGAACCUGUUAAGCAGACCUACGUUUUGGCUGUGACAUCCACAUACUGUCCAGGGCGAAAGUGAGCAGCAUAAAGAGGAGUGCCUUUAUGAAAAGAAAACAAGCAAUAUAUGAAAUGUCGGCCCAGAACAACGUCACUGAACAUAAACUACAUCUAGAAAGCCUAUCAGGUUUCCAAAAAAGUAGAAGAUUCUCUUCUGCAAUUAUAAUUACUAGAAACAUCAAUAAUUAAAAUUGUUCAUCAAACAUGUUUUAAUCGACUGUCCAUGGGCUGAAGAACAAUGUGUCCCAGGAUGUUGGGCCAACAGAUCACGGCUGGCGGAUGGGCUUGUGCCUUUACAGAGGCCAACGUGGUACUGGUUGAAAUGGGUAAUUCACAUGACGGACACUGUGUUCUUGCUGGUAAAUACAUGGGUUUGAUGAUUUUUUGUUGCUUUGGUAAA